Molecule: ribosomal RNA, 404 nt
Filed under: Fusobacteriota bacterium
Lineage: Bacteria; Fusobacteriati; Fusobacteriota
Description: Fusobacteria bacterium partial 16S ribosomal RNA
Rfam family: Bacterial small subunit ribosomal RNA
Source: RNAcentral
UGGGAAAUAUUGCACAAUGGAGGGAACUCUGAUGCAGCGACGCCGCGUGAGUGAUGAAGGAAUUCGUUUCGUAAAACUCUGUUCUAUGGGAAGAAAAGGACUGUACCAUAGGAGAAAGCUCCGGCUAAAUACGUGCCAGCAGCCGCGGUAAUACGUAUGGAGCGAGCGUUGUCCGGAAUUAUUGGGCGUAAAGGGUGCGCAGGCGGCUUUACAAGUUGGAUGUGAAAUAUUGUGGCUCAACCACAAACGUGCAUCCAAAACUGCAAAGCUUGAGUUAAGGAGAGGUAAGUGGAAUUCCUGGUGUAGCGGUGGAAUGCGUAGAUAUCAGGAGGAAUACCGGUGGCGAAGGCGACUUACUGGACUUAAACUGACGCUCAGGCACGAAAGCGUGGGGAGCAAACAGG